Molecule: ribosomal RNA, 253 nt
Filed under: uncultured bacterium
Lineage: Bacteria
Description: partial 16S ribosomal RNA
Rfam family: Bacterial small subunit ribosomal RNA
Source: RNAcentral
UACGGAGGGUGCAAGCGUUAAUCGGAAUUACUGGGCGUAAAGGGCGUGUAGGCGGCCGCUUAAGUUCGGUGUGAAAGGCAUGGGCUUAACUCAUGGACUGCAUCGAAAACUGGGCGGCUUGAGGGUGGUAGAGGAGAGCGGAAUUCCCGGUGUAGCGGUAAAAUGCGUAGAUAUCGGGAGGAACACCAGUGGCGAAGGCGGCUCUCUGGGCCACACCUGACGCUGAGGCGCAAAAGCUAGGGGAGCAAACGGG